CUAAAAUGACGAAUUAAAAAUAUAUGUAGCAGCAUUUAAAUCCAUAAAAACGGAAUACAUUCAAAUCAUAAAUCUGUUCUUGCCGAGUAUGUAUAGGCAACACAUCUAAUGUAUUCCUUUCUUAUGAUUUCGUCUCUAUUUCUUCUAUAUUUGGCAAAAUUGUCGAUAACGAAGGUCUCUUUUAUUUGUCUGGCAUACGUACUUGUGGGGACAUUUCUAGAGUUUGCAUUUUCUCACAAGGAAGCUAUUAAACCAAGAGUUCCAAAUGGUGAAGUUGAAAUAAUCCCUUCUUUAAUUUAUGGACGCCAUCACGAAUUGGUUGACCGUUAUGGAAUGUGUACUUGUACGUUGUCUAAGAAUGUAUGACAUUUGCCAUCAGAAGGAGCGUCAGACAAUGUCAAACGUGAAGCAGUCAUCGAUUUCAUUUAGGGAAAGGAACCGUAACCCGAAACAUUGGGAUAGCCAUUUACCAAUUGCAAUGUCACUUGAUUUGUCUGUAUACUCUGUGCUCAGCCAAUGUAAAAGUAUGAACUUACCUGUAACUUACCUGUAAAUCUAAUUAAGAAAAAAUAUAAAAUCGGCGCAAAUGAAAAAAUGAAAUCGGCGCAAAUGAAAGAAUGUAAAUUUUCAAAAUCGGCGCAAAUGUCAUACGCCC
Molecule: long non-coding RNA, 655 nt
Filed under: Mytilus galloprovincialis (Mediterranean mussel)
Lineage: Eukaryota; Metazoa; Mollusca; Bivalvia; Mytilida; Mytilidae
Source: RNAcentral